This 494-nucleotide ribosomal RNA is filed under the name uncultured bacterium. Its description in RNAcentral is "bacterial SSU rRNA". It matches the Rfam family "Bacterial small subunit ribosomal RNA", at positions 28 to 511 of the family's 1533-position model. The record is from RNAcentral.
GAUGAACGCUAGCUACAGGCUUAACACAUGCAAGUCGAGGGGCAGCGGGAUUGAAGCUUGCUUCAAUUGCCGGCGACCGGCGCACGGGUGAGUAACGCGUAUCCAACCUUCCGUACACUCAGGGAUAGCCUUUCGAAAGAAAGAUUAAUACCUGAUGGUAUGAUGAGAUUGCAUGAUAGCAUCAUUAAAGAUUUAUCGGUGUACGAUGGGGAUGCGUUCCAUUAGCUUGUUGGCGGGGUAACGGCCCACCAAGGCGACGAUCAGUAGGGGUUCUGAGAGGAAGGUCCCCCACAUUGGAACUGAGACACGGUCCAAACUCCUACGGGAGGCAGCAGUGAGGAAUAUUGGUCAAUGGACGAGAGUCUGAACCAGCCAAGUAGCGUGCAGGAAGACGGCCCUAUGGGUUGUAAACUGCUUUUAUAAGGGAAUAAAGUGAGUCUCGUGAGACUUUUUGCAUGUACCUUAUGAAUAAGGACCGGCUAAUUCCGUGCCAG